This 402-nucleotide ribosomal RNA is filed under the name uncultured bacterium. RNAcentral's name for it is "partial 16S ribosomal RNA". It matches the Rfam family "Archaeal small subunit ribosomal RNA", at positions 473 to 873 of the family's 1478-position model. The record is from RNAcentral.
ACACCGGCAGCUCAAGUGGUAGCCGCUUUUAUUGGGCCUAAAGCGUCCGUAGCCGGUCUGAUAAGUCUCUGGUGAAAUCCCGCAGCUUAACUGUGGGAAUUGCUGGAGAUACUAUCAUGACUCGAGGUCGGGAGAGGCUGGAGGUACUCCCAGGGUAGGGGGGAAAUCCUGUAAUCCUGGGAGGACCACCUGUGGCGAAGGCGUCCAGCUGGAACGAACCUGACGGUGAGGGACGAAAGCCAGGGGCGCGAACCGGAUUAGAUACCCGGGUAGUCCUGGCCGUAAACGAUGUGGACUUGGUGUUGGGAUGGCUUCGAGCUGCCCCAGUGCCGAAGGGAAGCUGUUAAGUCCACCGCCUGGGAAGUACGGCCGCAAGGCUGAAACUUAAAUGAAUUGGCGGGG